CAUCAAUUCUGCUAGUCUGCUACCACAACUUUUUGUUUCCGUUACUGUGAAAGAUGCCUGGGCGCUGAAAGCACCAUAGGAAAGAUCAAGCUCCAUGACUACAUCGGCAAUAGCUGGGCCAUCGUUUUCUCUGACUCAGGUGAUUUCACGCCGGUCUGCACCACCGAGCUUGCGAAGAUGGCCGAGUAUUCCAAGGUGUUCAAGGAGAAAGGAGUGAAGCUGCUGGGUUUGUCCUGCGAGAGGGAAGCCUACAGUGUAAUAAUGACAGUGCGUGCGGUUAGAAUUUGAGAUAUCAAGCCCCUACAAAACAAUAUCCAAAUUAAAGUCGGGGUAUGCAGGCUGUGGAGGUCAAAGAGGUUACAGCCUGUAGCGCUCCAAACAGUUUGAGUACGUCAUAGUUCCGCGAGUUCUUAAAACAUAAACCAACCGAAUGUUCGAUUUACAUUUUAGAAAACUCGCUAGGCAUUUUUUAAAUAAAUUUUUCAUAAAACACA
Molecule: long non-coding RNA, 494 nt
Organism: Rosa rugosa (rugosa rose)
Lineage: Eukaryota; Viridiplantae; Streptophyta; Magnoliopsida; Rosales; Rosaceae
Exons: 3
Source: RefSeq, a predicted model, not a curated record